AUUAUUCUUUUUGAUGCACUGAUGUACGAACAGCAGCUUCAAUAAUCGAAGAGCUAUUAAGAUAACUCGAUCGAGCCGGUGGCGGACCGAUCCUAACCGCCUCAUCAGCGGAUUUCACAUGCAAACUAUGCCUAUCAGCAUCACUAUAAACCGCAACCGUCUGUAUACCUAACCUCUUCGCUGUUCUCAUAAUCCUACACGCGAUUUCUCCUCUGUUCGCUAUUAGAAGCUUCUCGAUCUUCCGAUUACUGUUCUCAGUGUUGGUUAGGUUCGUUGAUGAAGAUGAUAGUCUGAAUGGCGUGUAAAUGAAUUGUUUGUUGAAGUUCCGGUGAAGUUUUCGGUUAAGUUUCCGGUGAAUCAUUGUUGUUAUU
Molecule: long non-coding RNA, 371 nt
Filed under: Helianthus annuus (common sunflower)
Lineage: Eukaryota; Viridiplantae; Streptophyta; Magnoliopsida; Asterales; Asteraceae
Description: sRNA HanXRQr2_Chr13g0568801
Source: RNAcentral